RNAcentral lists this non-coding RNA (23 nucleotides) under Arabidopsis thaliana (thale cress). The record is from RNAcentral. Lineage: Eukaryota; Viridiplantae; Streptophyta; Magnoliopsida; Brassicales; Brassicaceae.
CAAUAAGCCCUAUAAUCUAGAUA